AUGAACGCUAGCGACAGGCCUAACACAUGCAAGUCAGGGGCAGCACAAGGAGCAAUCUGAGGUGGCGACCGGCGCACGGGUGAGUAACACGUAUGCAACCUGCCUGUAAGCGGGGAAUAACCCGUUGAAAGACGGACUAAUACCGCAUAAUACUAAAUUACUGCAUGGUAAUUUAUUUAAACAUUUAUGGCUUACAGAUGGGCAUGCGCAUGAUUAGCUAGUUGGAGAGGUAACGGCUCCCCAAGGCAACGAUCAUUAGGGGUUCUGAGAGGAAGGUCCCCACACUGGUACUGAGACACGGACCAGACUCCUACGGGAGGCAGCAGUGAGGAAUAUUGGUCAAUGGACGAGAGUCUGAACCAGCCAAGUCGCGUGCAGGAAGAAUGUCCUAAUGGAUUGUAAACUGCUUUUGCAGGGGAAUAAAGUGCAUCACGUGUGAUGUUUUGUAUGUACUCUGCGAAUAAGGAUCGGCUAACUCCGUGCCAGCAGCGGC
This 493-nucleotide ribosomal RNA is filed under the name uncultured bacterium. RNAcentral's name for it is "bacterial SSU rRNA". It matches the Rfam family "Bacterial small subunit ribosomal RNA", at positions 29 to 518 of the family's 1533-position model. The record is from RNAcentral.